UUUUUCGUGUUCAUUUCACUUCAGGCAGAUGAACAUUUUCGGUAGACAAAGGUUUGUUAGCUAGACAAUGUAAUAGUAGGUAUCGUAGAAAAUAAUGUAGCGGCCGUUGUGGGCUGUAAAGAGAACCUAGCAAGAUAGCAUACAGGGCACUUUUAGUUCGUCAAAUUACCACUUGCGAGAAAUCGUGUCACUGGAUUCGCUCCUCUACUGUGAAAAUGGGAAUUCAGGGACUGUUGCAAUUCCUUAAGGAUGCCUCAGAGCCCAUACAUGUCAAAAAGUACAGAGGACAGACAGUGGCUGUGGACACAUAUUGCUGGCUCCAUAAAGGAGCAUUCGCUUGUGCUGAGAAACUGGCCAAAGGAGAACCUACUGAUCAAUAUGUAACCUACUGUAUGAAAUUUGUGGAUAUGCUGUUGUCCUUUGGUAUCAAGCCCAUCCUGGUGUUCGAUGGUUGCAACUUGCCAUCGAAGAAGGAGGUUGAUAAGGCACGUCGCGAGCGUCGACAAGCCAAUUUGCAGCGAGGCAAACAGCUCCUGCGUGAGGGAAAGCUAAGUGAAGCACGGGACUGCUUCACUCGUUGUGUUAAUGUUACCCCCUCCAUGGCUCAUGAAGUAAUCAAGGUAAAUUGAGACACAAUUC
Molecule: RNA transcript, 639 nt
Organism: Clupea harengus (Atlantic herring)
Lineage: Eukaryota; Metazoa; Chordata; Actinopteri; Clupeiformes; Clupeidae
Gene: exo1
Exons: 4
Source: RefSeq, a predicted model, not a curated record